GUGGGUUGGACGGCCGCGGGGAGAGAAAUCCCUUCGAGGAAAGUCCGGACACCACAGGGCAAGACGGUGGGCAACUCCCACUCGGGGAAACCCGCAGGAAAGUGCCACAGAAACAUACGGCCGAUGGCGCGACCACACGUGAGUCGCGUACAGGCAAAGGUGAAAGGGUGCGGUAAGAGCGCACCGGCGUCGCGGUGACGCGGCGGCCAGGCAAACCCCGUCCGGUGCAAGACCAAACAGGAUCGUCGACCCGGCCCGGCGAGAUCCAGGUAGGUCGCAGGUGUGCCCGGUUUCGGCCAGGCCCCCGCCGGCGUGAUCAGCCGGUGAGACAGAUGGUCGUUCACGACAGGAUCCGGCUUACAGACCCACUAAG
This 373-nucleotide RNase P RNA is filed under the name Thermoleophilia bacterium. RNAcentral describes it as "RNase P RNA component class A". It matches the Rfam family "Bacterial RNase P class A". From Rfam's summary of the family: Ribonuclease P (RNase P) is a ubiquitous endoribonuclease, found in archaea, bacteria and eukarya as well as chloroplasts and mitochondria. Lineage: Bacteria; Bacillati; Actinomycetota; Thermoleophilia. The record is from RNAcentral.